This 813-nucleotide ribosomal RNA is filed under the name uncultured bacterium. RNAcentral's name for it is "bacterial SSU rRNA". It matches the Rfam family "Bacterial small subunit ribosomal RNA", at positions 388 to 1195 of the family's 1533-position model. The record is from RNAcentral.
GAGACGACGCCGCGUGGAGGAUGAAGGGCUUCGGCUUGUAAACUCCUGUCACCGACGAACAAGGCAUCCGGUUGAACAUUCCGGGUGAUUGAUGGUAGUCGGAGAGGAAGGGGCGGCUAACUCUGUGCCAGCAGCCGCGGUGAUACAGAGGCCCCGAGCGUUGUUCGGAUUUACUGGGCGUAAAGGGUGUGUAGGGGGUCGGGUAAGUUUGACGUGAAAGCCCGCUGCUUAACAGCGGAACGGCGUCGAAUACUGCCCGGCUGGAGGUUCGGAGAUGAGAGCGGAAUUCUCGGUGUAGCGGUGAAAUGCGUAGAUAUCGAGAGGAACGCCGACGGCGAAAGCAGCUCUCAAGACGACACCUGACCCUGAGACACGAAGGCCAGGGGAGCAAACGGGAUUAGAUACCCCGGUAGUCCUGGCAGUAAACGGUGCUCAUUAGACGUGGGCGGAUUCGACCCCGCCCGUGUCGAACCUAACGGAUUAAAUGAGCCGCCUGGGAAGUACGGUCGCAAGAUUAAAACUCAAAGAAAUUGACGGGGGCCCGCACAAGCGGUGGAGUAUGUGGCUUAAUUCGAUGCAACGCGAAGAACCUUACCUGGCCUUGACAUGCUGAGUUCAGGCGUGGAAACACGCUGGCCCGCAAGGGCGAUCUGCACAGGUGCUGCAUGGCUGUCGUCAGCUCGUGUCGUGAGAUGUUGGGUUAAGUCCCGCAACGAGCGCAACCCUCGUGACUAGUUAAUCCCGGGCAACCGGAUUCUGGUCAGACUGCCCUGUGAAACGGGGAGGAAGGUGGGGGACGACGUCAAGUCCGUA